ACGGAAGGCAGCAGUGGGGAAUAUUGCACAAUGGGCGCAAGCCUGAUGCAGCGAUGCCGCGUGAGGGAAGAAGGUUUUCGGAUUGUAAACCUCUGUCAUCGGGGACGAUAAUGACUGUACCCGAGAAGGAAGCUCCGGCUAACUACGUGCCAGCAGCCGCGGUAAUACGUAGGGAGCGAGCGUUAUCCGGAAUUACUGGGUGUAAAGGGAGUGUAGGCGGGACUGUAAGUCAGAUGUGAAAUAUACCGGCUCAACUGGUAGACUGCAUUUGAAACUGCGGUUCUUGAGUGAAGUAGAGGUAAGCGGAAUUCCUAGUGUAGCGGUGAGAUCCGUAGAUAUUAGGAGGAACAUCAGUGGCGAAGGCGGCUUACUGGGGGCUUAUCGACGCUCAUGCUCGAAAGUGCGGGUAGCAAACAGGAUUAGAUACCCUGGUA
This 434-nucleotide ribosomal RNA is filed under the name uncultured Ruminococcus sp. Its description in RNAcentral is "partial 16S ribosomal RNA". It matches the Rfam family "Bacterial small subunit ribosomal RNA", at positions 341 to 792 of the family's 1533-position model. Lineage: Bacteria; Bacillati; Bacillota; Clostridia; Eubacteriales; Oscillospiraceae. The record is from RNAcentral.